This is a non-coding RNA of Podarcis lilfordi (Lilford's wall lizard), 13204 nucleotides long. NCBI's taxonomy places the organism in Eukaryota, Metazoa, Chordata, Lepidosauria, Squamata, Lacertidae. The record is from the annotation of a GenBank genome assembly.
AUGACGCUGAAGGCUAAUGCCAGAGUCAUGAUGGCCCUUCAGGAUGCUUGUGGGAUUCCUAAGCUCAACAAGAAAAAUUACAGCGACUGGGUUCAGUAUGCAGAGGCAAUUCUGCGGAAAGAGGGUUUGUUUGAGGUGAUUACAGAAACCCCCAGUUCCAGUUACAGAUGCAUGGGAAGCUAAGGAUUCCAAAGCAAGGGAACUCUUACAUUGAUAGUAUCCCCAGAAGAGCUCUGUCUAUUGCGUGAUAAGACCUCAGCCAGAGAAAUUUGGGACGCUUUGAGAGAGGCUCACUUAAGGACAGAAGCUGGAUCCACUAUGUUUUACUUUAACAAGCUGCACAAUAUGGCUCUUGCUGAAGGUGGAGAUGUGCGUUUACAUCUGAUGGAGAUGCAAAAUCUGAGACAUGAGCUGCAACAGAGAGGACUCAACUUUCCAGAGGCUGUGUAUUCUUUCAUGAUACUACAAUCUUUGGGUUCAGGUUGGGAGUCUGUUGCAACCCAGAUUGCUGUGCAACCAACUGCUCAGCUGACAGUGGACUUUGUUACUGCCGUGAUUUUAAAUGAAGCAGAUCGCCGGGGUGCUAGCUGCAUGGGCAAGGGAGUCUUCACAGACGUCAUCCCAUAGUGCAGUGGAACCACCAGAUGGCGCCAAAGCUUUGAAGGCAGUGAAAUGCUACUCGUGUGGACGUCUAGGCCAUAUGAAGAGGGAAUGCAGACAUCCCAGGGCCAAGACAGAGCAGCGCAGCGAAGCUCAUCGUGCGGAAAAGGCCGAGGCAAGGCAAAGGUCCGGUGUCUAGGACAACGCAGCACAAGGCUAUGGUUUCACGCUUCACUCCAAAGGUUGCAGAGGUCCAGAAGACGUCUAGAUCUUUCUUCGUUGUUGAUUCAGCGGCCACCCACCACAUGUGCAACGAUAAGAGACUGUUUGUGUCUUUUACACCACAGGAAGGUGCGAUUCACCAGGCGGAUGACCACACUAUUCCCAGUAAAGGCUACGGAACUGUUGUUCUUCACAGUCUGGACUUAUCGAUACAGAAUGUGCUUUACGUGCCAGACGCCAAACAUAAUCUGCUCAGCGUUGGACAGCUGAAUGAGCGGAACAUUGACGUUUCCUUCAAGAACAAGAAGUGCAUCAUCACAAAGAAAAAUGAUUAUGUAUUGCAUGCAGAAUAUGUUGAUCAUUUGUUUGUUUUGUAUUAUGAUGAUGUGGUGCAGGAUGACACUUGUUGCAUUGCAGGUUCUAACAAAAGUUUGCAUGCAGAAUGUAUUCACGAUUUUCAUCGAAAAUUUGGUCAUUUGCAUUUUGAGGCAGUAUCUAAAAUGCCUGCCUUGGUUGAAGGUAUGACUAUUAAACCCUGCAAGUACCACAUGAAGUGCAAAGCAUGCGCAGCAAACAAGGUGAAAAUGGCUGCGAAAGGUAAGGUGUCUAGUAGGAAAGCUACAGAACCAUACCAGGUUGUUCAUGCUGAUUUGGUUGGACCACUAGCGCCCUCUUUGGGUGGAAAUAGAUACUUCAUGGUUCUCAUUGAUGCAUUUUCUAGAUAUAUUUUUGUGUACAAUCUCAAGCAGAAAUCGGAGGCUUUUCCUAGGUUCAAGGAAUUCUGUGCUUGGUUGGAAAAUGUGCAUGGUAAGAAGAUAAAGACUCUUUUCAGUGAUCGCGGGGAAAUUCACUUCUCAGCAGUUUGAAGCUUUUCUGACUGAGAAAGGAAUUCAACACGAGUUGUCUAGUCCUCGCUCGCCAUGGCAGAAUGGACUUGCGGAACAGGCAAAUCAAACAUUGCUUCAAGGAUUAAAAACCUUGCUGCAUGAUGCCAAUCUUCCAGAGAGUUAUUGGGCCGAAUCUCUCUCGUGUUUUGUUUACAGUUACAAUCGCAGGUUAUCUUCAGCGAUUGGUUGUACCCCCUAUGAGAAGAUGUUUGGCAAGAAGCCAUACAUCAAACACAUGAAGAUUUUGGUUCUGACAUGUGGGUUCGCUCACCACAAAACUCCAAGUUAGACAAGCGUGGAUUGCAUGGUAUCUUUCUAGGUUAUCAGAAAGGGUCUUACAGAAUAAUGAUGACUGACUCUAAGACAAUUAAGCUCACGAGAAGUGUUGAGUACAAUGCAAAGUGGGGGAGAAUGUGGGAAUUUUCCAAUGUUAUCCUGAUGACGGUGAUGAGACUGAGGAUAGUCAAAGCAACCACAACAGCCCACACCCACUGAUGAAGGUUCUGAGUCUGAAUCUGAAACUGAAUCGGAUGAUUCAGAGGAUUUCGAGAGUGCGAAAGCCUCUAUGCGACCCUCUGAAAGCUCUGAUCAAGAAUUGGAGGAACCAUUGUUCACAAUAGGUCGUUUUCUCCUAAGAAGGAAGAGGAGAGUGUUGAAGACUUAAGGCUAAUUCGUAGGUCACAGAGAGCCACAAAAGGCAAACCUCCAAAGAGAUUUGCUGAUGAGUUUGCUAAGAUAGCAGUAACAGCUGUUAAAAGCUCCAAGAAGGUAUUUGAACCUUCAAGUUUCCAAGAAAUCCAGGGUUUGGAUUCGAAGGAAGCUGAGCCAUGGUUAAAUGCCAUGAAGGCUGAGCUUGAUUCCUUAGAAAGGAACAAAACAUGGGAGCUAGUUCCAGUAGUUCCAGGAAUGAAACUGCUUGGAAGCAAAUGGGUCUUCAAAGCGAAGACAGAUCAAAAUGGCAAGAUAGUCAGACACAAAGCCAGAUUGGUAGCCAGAGGUUUUGCACAGGUACCAGGUCAAGACUAUCACGAGACCUAUUCACCCACAGUGAGAUAUGAAAGCAUUAGGCUUAUGCUCAAGCUAGCUGCAGAGGAAAAUCUACACAUUAGUCACCAUGAUAUUAAUACAGCUUUUCUGUACGGAUCUCUAGAUGAAUCACUUUAUAUGCUUCCACCUGAUGGCGUACAAGUAAAACAGGGAUUUGUUUGUGCUCUGAAGAAAUCCCUUUAUGGUCUCAAACAAAGUGCACGGUGUUGGCACACAAAACUCACUGAAGUAUUGUUUUCUCUAGGUUUUCAGCAAGGAAAGCUGAUCCAUGUGUAUUUGUCAAAGAGGAGGGGCAAAAGAAACUGUACUGUUUGUUUUAUGUUGAUGAUUUAUUAUUCUUUUGGAAAGAUGUAGCAAUGUACAAUAACGCCCUAGCUCAACUGAAAAAGCACUUUGACAUGAAAGAUCUUGGUGAGGUAAACAACUACCUAUCUCUGGAAAUAGAGAGAGAUCAAGAUGGUAACAUUCUAGUACACCAGUCACGGAAAAUUGCUGAUGUGUUAAGCAAACUAAAUCUGAUGGAUGCUAACCCUGUAGACACACCGAUGACAACAGGUUAUCAGGUAGAUGACACUGAAGAAGCAUUUUCUGACACUACACUGUACAGGAGUGUGCUAGGCAAGCUAAACUUCAUUGCCAGAUGUUCAAGACCAGACAUUGCUGUUAGCUGUAAUUUGCUAAGCAGACAAGUCAACAAUCCUAGUGUCAAGCAUUGGAAAGCUCUGAAACGCAUAGCGCGGUAUUUGAAAGGCACUAUGCAUUACAGACUGAGAUUUAACAAUCAGAAGUCUGGUGGUCUUGAGAUAUUUGCAGAUGCAAGUUUUGGAAGUGACGCUACAGACAGGAAAAGUACGUCUGGAGUUUGCUAUACGUACAAUCAGAGUCUGUUUGAUUGGUCAUGCAAGAAGCAAACAACAGUUAGCUUAAGUACUUGUGAAGCCGAACUGAAUGCACUGUCUUAUUCACUUAAGGAUUGUGAAUGGUUAGUACAAUUGUGCAAAGAUAUGAAAAUUCCUGUCAAAUGUCCAAUCCAGGUUUACCAGGACAACAAAGCAUGUUUGGCUUUGCUGAAGUCUGAAGGUUGUGAGCAAAGCACAAAGCACUUGCAAUUAAAGUUGCAGCAUGCUAGGAAUGUAUUCAGAAGGACUCGUAACGGUGUCCUAUAUGCCAGGUAAUGAAAUUCCUGCUGAUGUAUUGUCCAAGAUUGUAUCAAGGGAUCAACACUGUACCUAUGUGCAGAAGUUGGGUUUGUACUGAUAUUGUGCAAACACGCUGCCCAGUGAUGUUCACAGAAAGGGGAGGAUGUUGGUUUCUGCUUUCCUUCACUGUGCAGCUCUGCUUGUCACGAGACAGGUGUUUACAUUCCACAGUCUGUACUGUUGGAGUUUCUCACGGGAAAGGGAGACUGGAUGUGACGUACACUGGUUUCCUGUUUUUCACUGUGUGAUUCUCUCCGAGCUGUUGAGGAGAGAGGAUGCAUUUUUCUGCUCCGGCAGAGGCAAGAUGUCUUUCUGUAAUAUACCAGCUUUGAACUGUAAAUAAAGCAAUAUAGAGUAUGCAGCACGUAUUCCUCAUCCUUCCGCUGGGCACCAGACUCUGCUUUAAAUCAACAGGAAUGAGGCUGGUGGAUAGCAAAUGGGUCUUUAAGGCCAAGACAGACCAGACUGGCAAGGUUGUCAGGCACAAAGCCAGAUUGAUCGCCAGAGGUUUUUCACAGGUACCAGGACAGGAUUACCAUGAGACCUACUCACCCACCUACUCACCCACCAUCAAGUAUGAGAGAAUUAGGCUAAUGCUCAAGAUUGCUGCAGAAGAGAAACUUCCCGUUUCUCAUCACGGUGUAAAUGCAGCGUUUUUGUACGGGAUUUUGGCAGAGGAGCUGUAUAUGGAUCCACCUGAUGGAGUGCAGGUACAGAAGGGAAUGGUCUGUGUUGGGUGUAGUGAAGGGUUAACCUUCUGUGUCUCGAGGCUGAGAGGAGGCGCUUACAAGGGAAGUAAGCCAGGACGUGACGAAAGCAGCUUGGAAUGCUGUGAGCUGAGUGCAAAGUGAAAGCAGUUUUGUUGCGUAGCUGCAAAGAGAGGGAGAAGAUGCAGCUUGAUUCUGAUGGCAGUUAUUGAUUGUAAAUAUGCUACUUUUGAGCAAAUAAAGGGAUAUUAGGACAGAAGAAACGUGUGGGACUUGAUUACUGCUCUUUCGACACACACCACUGCGUAAUUCUGCUAAUUGCUUUACGACCGCUACAAAGCCACCCUGCGUAAACAGAAGCUACAGAGGCUCGCAGGGGAAGCGUGGCUGGGCACCGAACAAUAAAGCAAUAAAUCUACCGAACAAAGGUUAUGGGUCAACGCGAAGCGUGUGAGAAAGGGCUUUGAAGCUUUAUUUGCUGAACGUCGGCUUGAUCGACUGCCAAGACUUCAAAGGGCAGAUCGGAGGAGGCUGACGGAGUGGGAGCUAGGAGCCACGUCGUCCGGAGUGCCCGGUUUGGCUGCUGAGUGAGUACUUUUGCAAAAGGCCAACAGAAGGGAGGCAAUGGCUCAGCCUCGUGGACAUGGCUUUGAGUUUAAACUGCCAUGUCAGAAACUGACUAGCCAAAGUUGGCUGCAGUGGAGCUUUCAAGUGGAGCUUUUGCUGGUGGGGGAUCAGCUUUGGGACGUAGUCCAGCCCCCACAGAAUGCAGCUGGGAAAGCAGAGGCUAAGAGGGCUGCAGAGCAAAGUGAAGUUGAGAAGCGUGUGCUUGCUUUUUUGGCAGAAAAUGUGGAUGCUCAGCUGGUGGCUGUUGUCCUGGGUGCAAGAAGGCCAGAGGCCGCUUGACUAGCACUCUGAGAAGCUUGUGGAGCUGGGGUGGGAAGCAAGGGCCAAGAAGUUGCUGCAUCCGAAAGGGAGAGGCAAGAUGGCGACGGCCACAUUCUUGAGAGCCGAUACACAGCUGGGAGGAGCUGGGAGCCCCCACGGGGGGGCGAAGGGACUGUUGCUGUUGCUAGCAAUGCUGCUGGUGCUUUUGCUGAGCCUGGGAGCUGUUUGGAUGCUGUAACGUGUCUGUGUGAGGAACCUGGAGAGAGGCCAAGUGUUGGGAGCCCUUUACCCAUCAGAGGGGGUGCAGGAAAACGUCCUGGAGGCCCCAUGAGCAGUGGGGGGGGCCAGUGAGCAGUGAAAGAUCAGAGACGCCUCUUUCUCCAAAAGCUGCCAAGAGUUGUUUACGUCGUGAGUCAGAGCCUGGGAAGCUGAAAAGAGCUGGAGGUUUCAAGGCCGGCUACCUGCAGCAAGUAGAGAUAAGAGCUGUGGAGUUGUGUGGGAACGCCGAGACAAGUCCAGUCUCCAUGGCAACUGAGAGAGUUGCAUCUACGGAAGCUGUGAAGGUCGUGGGCAAGUCUUCCUGCCGGGGGGAGUCUGUUGCCGUGACAACCAGAGAGGACACCUGCAGAAGCCCCAAGGAGGGGGGUAGCGAGGAGAUUGUUGCCCUGGCGACCCAGGAAUGUCAACAACAAAACUUUCUCACUGUAAUAAUCGACAGUGGUGCCUCAAACGCAUUGGUGCCAUCUCCUGGUCUUUUGAGGAAUUGCAGGACAGUAAAAACUGAGAAAUUUGUGACGAUUGCAGAUGGAAGCAGAAAAAGACUAACAGAGACAGGCUUUUUCUUCUGUCCCUUUCUUAAGCAUGAAGUCAAAGCUUAUGCAGUGCCCGGUUUAACUAACUGUUUAUUAAGUGUGCAUGAUUUACUCGUUGAUGGUUUUCAUGUCUCUUUUGCAGGUGACAAAUGUGAAUUCUCCAAGGAUGGGAAACACGUGUACACAGUGCAGUCUAAAGAUAAUUUGUUUGCUGUAAAUGUGCCUUUUUCCACAGGAGAGGAUGACACCGAAGAUGCGAAGGGCCAAUGUGUGGAUGUAGCGCCCCACCAUGGUUGUUCACAUAUUUGGCACCGACGCUUCGCCCAUUUGAAUUGGAGAUAUCUCCAGAAAGCACCAGAGCUGACGCAAGGGUGCAAAUUUAAUGUUUGUGACAAAUUUUUAGAUUGCAAUGCAUGUAAACAGGCGAAAAUUGUGACAUGCUCAUAUCCAAAGUCAGAAAGGCAGACCACACAACCCUUUGAAUUAAUUCAUGCAGAUCUGUGUGGGCCCAUGUCAGUUGAGUCACUGGGAGGAUCAAAGUAUUCUCUGCUUUUGAUUGAUGAUUUUUCGAGGUCUGCUUGGACCUUCUCUCUGAAAACGAAAGGGGAGGCGGCGAAAAUGAUCAGGGAUUGGAUCACCGCAGUUGAGGUAACUUUUUCCACCAAAGUUCGUGGUUUUCAAAGUGACAGAGGUUCUGAAUUCACUGGUUCUGCUUUACAGGAUUUCUUUAGGGAGAAGGGGAUUAGCCACCGUUUGACCGCUCCUUACUCUCCGCAACAGAAUGGGCUGGCAGAGAGAAAGAACAGGACGGUGGAGGAAGCUGUGUCUGCGAUCCUGUGGGACGCAGGGCUACCCCAGAAAUAUUGGUCUGAAGCUUGGAGAUUUGUGGUCCAUACGCAGAAUAGAGUGUACAACUCUAGUGUAGGAAACACACCGUAUUUCUUAAUGCAUGGAAAGAAGCCUAAGGUACACUACCUUCGUGUGUUUGGUUGUGAGGCUUGGGUGCUUAUUCCAAAGGCUCUAUGCAAGAAAGGUGAGUCGAGAUCUAAAAGAAUGAUCUUUGUAGGGUAUGAGCCUGGCUCAAAGGCCUGGCGGUUUGCGUACCCAAGUGGAAACCAGUCUAGGUUGGUUAUCAGCAAUAGCGCUGAAUUCUGUGAGCAAGCCAGUUGGAAACUUCUGCACGCUAAUCCAGACGUAAUUCCACGGCAGUUCUAUAACUCAGAUGUUGAGGAGGAAGAGGAACUUGUUGCUGGGGACCACAGUCCAGAGCAACAGGAUCCACCACAGGGACAGAGUUCAAGGCAGGGACAGCUCAGGAUCCCUCAGAGGGGGGAACCUAGAACACCUCCUCAGGCAAGUGUCAUGUUUGAGCCAAAGAGUGAGCCUUCUUCACCUGCUGGACCAGCUGUAAGGCCCAAGAGGCGCAGCAGGUCAGAAGGGGAAGACACUGAAGUUGAGGAUGAUUUAGCUGGACCCAGUGAAGCAGCAGGGUCACCAGGAUUCACACUGAGGAGAUCAGCGAGGACAAGGAGGCCUCCUGAUCGGUACGGCGCUUCAGGCGUCUGGGUAGGUUCUGCAAGAUGUGAACCUGAAUCCUUCGAGGAUAUUCAGAGUUUACCUGAGGAAGAAGCAGGCAAGUGGCACAGGGCAAUGGACAAAGAGAUGAAGUCCAUGAAAGAUCUAGGUGUGUUCUCACUCACAGAGUUGCCACCGGGCAAGCAGGCUGUGAGUUGCAGGUGGGUUUACCGCUUGAAACCCACUAACACUGGAGAGCCACAAUAUAAAGCCAGGUUAGUUGCUCGAGGAUUUACUCAGAGGAAGGGAAUACACUUCACGGAGAUGUAUUCGCCAACGUCACGAGCGGAGACUCUGAGAACGCUUUUAGCUUGUGCAGCACAGAGAGGCUGGAAAGUAAACCACUUUGAUGUGGAUGUUGCCUACCUUAACUCAGAUCUCCAGGAGGAGCUGUACAUGAUUCCUCCUCCGGGGUUUGAGAACUUAAGGCAGGAUGUUGUGUGGAGACUGCACAAAUCCAUCUAUGGAUUACGUCAAUCUGCUAGAAACUGGAACAUGUGCCUGAAUGAAGCCUUAAAAGAGCUAGGUUUCAGGAGAAGUGUUGCUGAUAGUUGCUUUUAUUUGAGAGGAUCAGGAACAACACAAGAGUAUUUGCAGAUUUGGGUUGAUGACUUGUUAUUCUUCUCAGAAACAGAUGAACAGGCGGAGAAGUUUGCCAAAGAGCUAGGUAAACGAUUCAAGCUUAAACAGCUUGGUGCUGUCAAAACCUAUCUAGGUAUCAGUGUUGAGCGUGCACAGGAUGGAAGCUUCUUGCUCAGCCAGAGAGGUAAAAUUGAGCAAUUGCUUCAGAAAAUGAGGAUGAGUGAUUGUGCAGGAGUGAGAAGUCCUAUGGAGACUAGUUUUGUGAAGGACAGCCAGCAAGUAGAACGCACUGCGUUUGAAAAUACUGAAGUGUUUCAGUCAGCCCUAGGGAGUUUGUUGUACUUGUCCCAGUGGAGCAGACCUGAUAUAGCGUUUGCUGUCAAUCUGCUCAGCAGGGAAGCUUCAAACCCUAGUGUGCAAGCCUGGAAUGGCAUCAAGAGAGUUCUGAGGUAUUUGCAGGAGACCAAAGACUUUUGUCUUAGGUUGCCAGCACAAGGAGAAGUCUAACUGACUUGUUUUGUGGACUCAGAUUGGGCUAAUCUUGAGGAUCGCAAGUCUGUGUCUAGCCUAGUGGUGAAGUUUGGGAACUCAGUAGUUGGAUGGAGGUCCAAGAAGCAAAGUCUUAUAGCGCUCUCAUCCACUGAGGCUGAGUUUAGUGCUCUUUCAGAGGUGUGCAGAGAAGUAGAGUUCUAUGCUUGCUUGGUGCAGGAACUCUGCGAAGUGGAUUGUCUGCCGAUACGUGUUUUCGAGGACAAUUAACCAUGCCUGCGUAUGGCAGAGUCAGGUCAGUUCAAGGCCACAACUAAACACCUAGACAUUUGCUUUCGGAAUGUGUGCCAGAGUGUUCAGGAGGGAUUAGUUGCGCUGAAGUAUUGUCCCUCUGCCAAGAACCUAGCUGAUGGGUUCACGAAGCCACUCACCUUCCAAAGACAUGGGGAGUUUUGCGAAGGUCUGGGUUUGGGACGACCAAGGGUCGAUUCUCCCCUCAGGCGCGAGACAAGAGGGGGUGUUGGGUGUAGUGAAGGGUUAACCUUCUGUGUCUCGAGGCUGAGAGGAGGCGCUUACAAGGGAAGUAAGCCAGGACGUGACGAAAGCAGCUUGGAAUGCUGUGAGCUGAGUGCAAAGUGAAAGCAGUUUUGUUGUGUAGCUGCAAAGAGAGGGAGAAGAUGCAGCUUGAUUCUGAUGGCAGUUAUUGAUUGUAAAUAUGCUACUUUUGAGCAAAUAAAGGGAUAUUAGGGCAGAAGAAACGUGUGGGACUUGAUUACUGCUCUUUCGACACACACCGCUGCGUAAUUCUGCUAAUUGCAUUACGACCGCUAUAAAGCCACCCUGCGUAAACAGAAGCUACAGAGGCUCGCAGGGGAAGCGUAGCUGGGUGCCUAACAAUAAAGCAAUAAAUCUACGGAACAGUCUGUAAGCUACAGAAGUCUCUAUAUGGUCUCAAGCAGAGUGCCAGGUUUUGGAACACAAAACUCACUGAGGCAUUGCUUUCUCUAGGUUUUCACCAAGGUAAAGCUGAUCCAUGUGUGUUUGUCAAGGAGGAGGGGCAAAACAAACUGUAUUGUUUAUGCUUUGUAGAUGACAUGCUUCUUUUCUAGAACAAUCAGGCUUUGUGCCAAAGCACCCUAGCUCAGCUGAAGGAGCACUUUGACAUGAAGGAUCUUGGUGAGGUAUCCAACUAUCUUUCUCUGCAUGUGGAGAAGGACCAGGCAGGUAAUUUUCUGGUACACCAAACACAGAAGAUUGCUGAUGUAUUAACCAGGCUGAAUUUGGUUGAUGCAAACCCAGCAGACAUGCCGAUGGUGACAGGUUACCAGGUAGAUGGUACUGCUGAAGCAUUUUCUGACACCACACUGUACAGAUGCAUUCUAGGCGAACUGAAUUUCAUUGCUAGAUGUUCAAGACCUGACUGUUGGUUUCUGCUUUCCUUCACUGUGCAGCUCUGCUUGUCACGAGACAGGUGUUUACAUUCCACAGUCUGUACUGUUGGAGUUUCUCACGGGAAAGGGAGACUGGAUGUGACGUACACUGGUUUCCUGUUUUUCACUGUGUGAUUCUCUCCGAGCUGUCGAGGAGAGAGGAUGCAUUUUCUGCUCCGGCAGAGGCAAGAUGUCUUUCUGUAAUAUACCAGCUUUGAACUGUAAAUAAAGCAAUAUAGAGUAUGCAGCACGUAUUCCUCAUCCUUCCGCUGGGCACCAGACUCUGCUUUAAAUCAACACGUGGUUAUGGGCUCCAGAAGUCGAGAUCGGAGUACCGGCAAAGGAUCGGAAUGCAGAGGAACAGAUCGGAACGGAAUCUGCUCUGCGCGUAGAGGUGAUUGAUGAGGUAUGUGCUACUGCUCCGGGCAGCCUGCCAGCUUCAAGUUAAUGGCUUUAUGGCUGGACUUUGAACUUUUAAAGCCGGUUUUGCCGGGAAUAGGCAAAAGGCUCCCAGGCACAAGUCACUAUGCUGGGGAAAUCAAAAGUAACUUUUAAGUGCGCUUUGUAAUAAGGCAGCUGCAGCGGUGACGCAGCAAGAUUUAAAGCAGCAUAUGACGCUGAAGGCUAAUGCCAGAGUCAUGAUGGCCCUUCAGGAUGCUUGUGGGAUUCCUAAGCUCAACAAGAAAAAUUACAGCGACUGGGUUCAGUAUGCAGAGGCAAUUCUGCGGAAAGAGGGUUUGUUUGAGGUGAUUACAGGAACCCCCAGUUCCAGUUACAGAUGCAUGGGAAGCUAAGGAUUCCAAAGCAAGGGAACUCUUACAUUGAUAGUAUCCCCAGAAGAGCUCUGUCUAUUGCGUGAUAAGACCUCAGCCAGAGAAAUUUGGGACGCUUUGAGAGAGGCUCACUUAAGGACAGAAGCUGGAUCCACUAUGUUUUACUUUAACAAGCUGCAUAAUAUGGCUCUUGCUGAAGGUGGAGAUGUGCGUUUACAUCUGAUGGAGAUGCAAAAUCUGAGACAUGAGCUGCAACAGAGAGGACUCAACUUUCCAGAGGCUGUGUAUUCUUUCAUGAUACUACAAUCUUUGGGUUCAGGUUGGGAGUCUGUUGCAACCCAGAUUGCUGUGCAACCAACUGCUCAGCUGACAGUGGACUUUGUUACUGCCGUGAUUUUAAAUGAAGCAGAUCGCCGGGGUGCUAGCUGCAUGGGCAAGGGAGUCUUCACAGACGUCAUCCCAUAGUGCAGUGGAACCACCAGAUGGCGCCAAAGCUUUGAAGGCAGUGAAAUGCUACUCGUGUGGACGUCUAGGCCAUAUGAAGAGGGAAUGCAGACAUCCCAGGGCCAAGACAGAGCAGCGCAGCGAAAGCUCAUCGCGCGGAAAAGGCCGAGGCAAAGGCAAAGGUCCGGUGUCUAGGACAACGCAGCACAAGGCUAUGGUUUCACGCUUCACUCCAAAGGUUGCAGAGGUCCAGAAGACGUCUAGAUCUUUCUUCGUUGUUGAUUCAGCGGCCACCCACCACAUGUGCAACGAUAAGAAACUGUUUGUGUCUUUUACACCGCAGGAAGGUGCGAUUCACCAGGCGGAUGACCACACUAUUCCCAGUAAAGGCUACGGAACUGUUGUUCUUCACAGUUUGGACUUAUCGAUACAGAAUGUGCUUUACGUGCCAGACGCCAAACAUAAUCUGCUCAGCGUUGGACAGCUGAAUGAGCGGAACAUUGAUGUUUCCUUCAAGAACAAGAAGUGCAUCAUCACAAAGAAAAAUGAUUAUGUAUUGCAUGCAGAAUAUGUUGAUCAUUUGUUUGUUUUGUAUUAUGAUGAUGUGGUGCAGGAUGACACUUGUUGCAUUGCAGGUUCUAACAAAAGUUUGCAUGCAGAAUGUAUUCACGAUUUUCAUAGAAAAUUUGGUCAUUUGCAUUUUGAGGCAGUAUCUAAAAUGCCUGCCUUGGUUGAAGGUAUGACUAUUAAACCCUGCAGGUACCACAUGAAGUGCAAAGCAUGCGCAGCAAACAAAGUGAAAAUGGCUGCGAAAGGUAAGGUGUCUAGUAGGAAAGCUACAGAACCAUACCAGGUUGUUCAUGCUGAUUUGGUUGGACCACUAGCGCCCUCUUUGGGUGGAAAUAGAUACUUCAUGGUUCUCAUUGAUGCAUUUUCUAGAUAUAUUUUUGUGUACAAUCUCAAGCAGAAAUCGGAGGCUUUUCCUAGGUUCAAGGAAUUCUGUGCUUGGUUGGAAAAUGUGCAUGGUAAGAAGAUAAAGACUCUUUUCAGUGAUCGCGGGGAAUUCACUUCUCAGCAGUUUGAAGCUUUUCUGACUGAGAAAGGAAUUCAACACGAUUUGUCUAGUCCUCGCUCGCCAUGGCAGAAUGGACUUGCGGAGCAGGCAAAUCAAACAUUGCUUCAAGGAUUAAAAACCUUGCUGCAUGAUGCCAAUCUUCCAGAGAGUUAUUGGGCCGAAUCUCUCUCGUGUUUUGUUUACAGUUACAAUCGCAGGUUAUCUUCAGCGAUUGGUUGUACCCCCUAUGAGAAGAUGUUUGGCAAGAAGCCAUACAUCAAACACAUGAAGAUUUUUGGUUCUGACAUGUGGGUUCGCUCACCACAAAACUCCAAGUUAGACAAGCGUGGAUUGCAUGGUAUCUUUCUAGGUUAUCAGAAAGGGUCUUACAGAAUAAUGAUGACUGACUCUAAGACAAUUAAGCUCACGAGAAGUGUUGAGUACAAUGCAAAGUGGGGGAGAAUGUGGGAAUUUUCCAAUGUUAUCCUGAUGACG